This 477-nucleotide ribosomal RNA is filed under the name uncultured bacterium. RNAcentral's name for it is "bacterial SSU rRNA". It matches the Rfam family "Bacterial small subunit ribosomal RNA", at positions 365 to 832 of the family's 1533-position model. The record is from RNAcentral.
UUCGCAAUGCCCGAAAGGGUGACGAAGCGACGCCGCGUGUGGGGAGAAGGCCUUCGGGUUGUAAACCGCUGUUGGGAGUUAGGAAGUGUGGGAAUGUUAAUAGCGCUUCCACUUGACUAAAGCUCCAGAGGAAGCCACGGCUAACUCUGUGCCAGCAGCCGCGGUAAUACAGAGGCGGCAAGCGUUGUUCGGAAUUAUUGGGCGUAAAGAGCACGUAGGCGGCUGUGUAAGUCGGUUGUGAAAGCCUUCCGCUUAACGGAAGAACAGCGACCGAUACUGCAUAGCUAGAGUGCGGGAGGGGAGAGUGGAACUUCUGGUGGAGCGGUGAAAUGCGUAGAUAUCAGAAGGAACGCCGGCGGCGAAAGCGGCUCUCUGGACCGUAACUGACGCUGAGUGUGCGAAAGCUAGGGGAGCAAACGGGAUUAGAUACCCCGGUAGUCCUAGCCGUAAACGAUGGGCACUAAGUAGAGGGGUUUU